UGGGGAAUCUUGCGCAAUGGACGAAAGUCUGACGCAGCGACGCCGCGUGGGUGACGAAGGCCUUCGGGUUGUAAAGCCCUGUGGGGAGAGACGAACCGGCUCGUGACUAAUAUCCACGGGUCUUGACGGUAUCUCCUUAGCAAGCAUCGGCUAACUCUGUGCCAGCAGCCGCGGUAAGACAGAGGAUGCAAACGUUGCUCGGAAUUACUGGGCGUAAAGCGCGCGCAGGCGGUCUUGUAAGUCAGGUGUGAAAUCCCGGGGCUCAACCUCGGAAGUGCACUUGAUACUGCUCGACUGGAGUACUGGAGAGGAGAGCGGAAUUCCCGGUGUAGAGGUGAAAUUCGUAGAUAUCGGGAGGAACACCAGUGGCGAAGGCGGCUCUCUGGACAGAUACUGACGCUGAGGCGCGAAAGCGUGGGAAGCAAACAGG
Molecule: ribosomal RNA, 430 nt
Filed under: uncultured Myxococcales bacterium
Lineage: Bacteria; Pseudomonadati; Myxococcota; Myxococcia; Myxococcales
Description: bacterial SSU rRNA
Rfam family: Bacterial small subunit ribosomal RNA
Source: RNAcentral